Dama dama (fallow deer) is the source of this 1898-nucleotide long non-coding RNA. RefSeq lists it as uncharacterized. The record is from RefSeq and is a predicted model, not a curated record. The transcript is spliced from 4 exons. Lineage: Eukaryota; Metazoa; Chordata; Mammalia; Artiodactyla; Cervidae.
ACCGGCCAGGGUCUGAGCCACAGUGGAGGGGGCGGACGCUUGGAGGACUCGAAGGGCAGGGUGGGCAUCCUUUCAUUUCCCUCCCAGAUGGAAACCUGGAACCCAGACCCUCAGCAUAGGCUGUGACCCUGAGCGAUGUGGUCCCAACCAUGUUCUGCUGGUGGCUUGGUCAGGUCGGGCUCUCAGGAGAUACUGCAGACGAGAUGGCUUGUGGGUGCCCAGCACGGCCCAGCCUGUCUGUGGGGAGGACGGAAAGCCAGCCUUGGAGCCUGAGGAUCUCAGAGCAUUGCCCACACAGCCGAAACUGGAACAGUGUAUCUUGCACAAGGCCAACAGGGAGAAUAAAAUUCCCAUCGGAGAGGUGGCCUCCCGGUACCAGGAGGAAGGGGGACUUUCUUAUCACCAGGGGCAGGGAACUGGGGGUCAAGAAAUCUGAACAAGCACACAGCUUGCAGGAUCUCAGUUUCCUGAUGAGAGAUGGAACCCAGGUCACCGCAGUGAAAGCACUAAGUCCUAACCACUGGACCCCCAGGGAAUUCCCUCAAGGGUCUUAAUUACACCUGCAAAGAUCCCAUUCACAGGUUCUGGGUAGAGAUCUCUUUGGGGGAAGGGGCUCCAUUCAGCCCCCUCCACUCUCCCCAUCUCUGGGAGGGAGGACUGACCAGAGCAGACAAGACUCCAGAGGCUCCAUGAGCAAAUCACACACACAAAGGGAGGGACUCUGCAGUGAGAAGUUUACUUUCUGGUGGCUCCUCUGAAGCCUGGCUUCCUUCUACAGCCUCGCUGUCUGACGAGGGAGUAGCCAACCCCACUUGGCUGCUAAAACUUGAAAUGUGGCCAGUCCCAAUGGAGCCGUGCUGCAGUGCCCAACACACGCCAGAAUCCAAAGGCUUUACAUGAAAAAAGGAAUAAAUAUAAAAUAUCUCAUUUCUAACUUCUUCUAUCAAUUACAUGUUCUAAUAGUAACAUUUUAGGGGGCUUCCCUGGUGGUUUAGUGGUUAAGAACCCGUCUACCAAUGCAGGGGACAUGGGUUCGAUUCCUGGUCCGGGAAGAUUCCACAUGCUGUGGAAGCAACUAAGCCUGAGGGCCACAACACCGAGCCCUCGCGCUGCAACUAGAGAAGCCACCACAAUGAGUAGCUCCUGCUCGCCACAACUAGAGAGAGCCUGUGCAUAGCAACAAAAUCCUAGAGCAGUCAAAAUAAAUAAGUGAAAUAAAUCUUUCUAAUAAAUAAGCAAAUAAAAUAACAUUUUGGAUAGACUGGGUUAAAAUAUACACUAUUCAUAAUAAGUUCAUUCAUUUUAUUGUUUUAAAUUGCAGUAAAAUUCACGUAUCACAAAAUCAACCAUUUUAAACGAAACAACUCACUGGCAUUUAGUACAUUCAUGGUGUUGUGCGACCAUCACCACUACCUGGUUCUGGCACAUUUCUAUCACCCCGUACCCUGAUGAAUAGAUGAAACCUUCUUUAAGUUGGAUUCAGAAAGGCAAGAAGGGGGAGCUCUCGCACCCUCUCAUACGUUGCUGUCUGCAGACUCCAAACAGGAAGAGAUGUACCUUGCAACUCCAACAGGAAGAAAGUUAUUACUUUACUACCCCAGGAGGAAGAAGGAAGAUUUUCUCCUCGCCCGGCAACUGCCCAGCCAAUAAGAGGCUGUAAUAACUCAGCCAAUGAAAAGGCACUACACUUAGAACUCCCAGCUUCCUCCAAUGAGCUCUUUGUUUAUAAUAGCCCCUCCCAACUCUCCUUUCUCUUCUAUAAAUGAAGAAUGGUCCUGUCUUUGUGUCUCUGGACUUGGUUAUAGUUUUGGUUAUAGGUUACAAGCUGUAACAUGCUUGUCCUGAAUUGCAAUUCUCUGCUAUUCCUCAAUAAACCCAUUUGCUGGUUAAAAACAAAA